GGGGUCUCCCUGAGGUGGAGGGUGGAAGGUGGGAGGAUGGAGAAGGGCAGAUAAAGGAACUAUUGUGUACUUGGCUUAGUACCUGAGUAAUGAAAUAAUCCGUACAGCAAGCCCUGUGACACAAGUGUGCUGCUCCAUAUAACAAACCUGCACAUGUACCCUUGAACAUAAACGUUUAAAAAGAAAGAAAGAAAACGGCUGCUGCUGAGGUGAAAAGCCAUUAUUGAGAUGAUGCAGACAGAAACAGGAGACAGGUAGGAGGAGUGAGUCUCCUCUCCCUCAUCCAGCCUCAGUGUCCUGGCAUGUCAACAAAACACCAGCCGGCUGACCACGCAGAAAUGUAGUUUGCAGAAUCCUCACCACGGCAUCGCAAAGCAGAGUAUAAAAGGGUGGCUUUGAAACAGAAAGAAAAUAGCUUAACAACCAGUACAAUGACUUUAGGUAGAUUACAUAGCCUCCCUAAGCUUCAAUUCCUAUACCUGUAUGACGGGAGAAGUACCUCCUCUCAAGGUUAUUGUAAGGAUUAAGUGAGAUAAUAGAUAUAGGCUGCUCAGUAAGGACACUGAAAGUAGCUGCAGAUCUAUCCCUGAUACCCCAUCUUUAGCCUCAACAUGGCAGCCAGAGGAGGACAAGGAUAGGGAAAAAGAUGGAAAGUGGAGAGAAGAAAGAAGAUGAAAGCAAGUAGAAGGAGGGAAGGAUGGAAAGAAUGCAAGAGGUACUUGGGACCACCAUCAGAGAGAAGGGCAAAAGCCCUGUGGACCGGUCCCUUGUCUCUUUGGGAAGGCUUUUCCCACUUUGAACAAAUUACAUGCUCCAGGUGCCUUCAGUGACUCCCAGGGGUGGUUGUGAUUUCUGCAAAAUCAAGAGAACUAAUAAGAGUAGCUAGAGGUAUGUGAUCAUUUUCUAAAAAGUUGAAGGCUCAGUGGUUUGGCAAAAGAGGACAGCAGGAGGUCUUAAUGAGUUAGACCACAAAUUAAUCUUGCCUUCUUUCCUUUAACUGUUUCUUUCCCCUGUGUCUUUGGCUGAUUCUAGCAGCGGUUCAACUGUGUAAUUAAGUCUCUUCUAAGAGAGCUGUGAAGCUGGGUCAGUACUGUAUGUUCUCGUGAUCAUUGGCUAUCAAGUUAAAGGUUGAAUUGAUAUUUCGAGCAGUUAUCAAACUUACCCUGCCCCAUUUUCAUGGAAACUGGCAACUGGAAAUGCUACCAGUAUUCAGAACCCUACUGCGAUCAACAAUUCCAAGGAGGGAUAAAAUCCAGAGCUAGCCUGAUGCCUCCAGCAAUAUUUCUCCAGCUCUUGAGUUGGUGCAAAGGUAAUUGCGGUUUUGGGUCGUGAAAUUUAAAUCACUGUAACUAGACUCAAACAAAUCUUUAUUAAUCAAAAUAGAAACCAUUAUAAUCAACACGUUUGCUAAUGAGAAAUCAGCUUGUUUAUGUCUGUAGCAUUAGCAUUAAAAUGUAUGCUUUGGGAUUAGACAAUCUCUCAGAAAGCAUUUUCUGCAUCCUGCUGGUUGUGGAAGCGUUUUCUCUGCAAAACGUUGUCAAGAUGCUUGAAGAAUUGGUGGCUGGUUGGCAAAGAGGUCAGGUGAAUACAGUGCAUGAGGCAAAACUGCACAGCGCAAUUCUUUCAACCUUUGAAGCGUUCGUUCUAUGAUGUGCAGUCGGGCGUUGUCAUGGAAAAGAAUUGGGCCCUUUCUGUUCACCAACGCCGGCUGCAGGCAUUGCAGGUUUUGGUGGAUCUCAUCAAUUUACUUUUUUUUUCCAGAAAGCUGUAGUGGAUCAGACUGGCAGCAGACCACCAGUCAGUGACCAAGACCUUUUUGCGAUGCAGGUUUGGCUUUGGGAAAUGCUUUGGAGCUUCUUCUCAGUCCAACCACUGAGGUAGUCAUCGCCGGCUGUCACAUAAAAUCCAUUUUUCAUUGCAUGUCAAAAAUCCAGUGAACAAAUGGUUUGUUGUUGUGACUAAGAGAAGAUGAUACUCAAAAAUGAUGAUUUUUAAGAAAAUUUUGCUCAGCUUAUGGGGCACGCACUUACUGAACUUUUUCACCUUUGUAAUUUGCUUCGAAUGCUGAGUGACCAUAGAAUGGUCAUUGUGAUCUUCGGCAACUUCUCAUGUAGUUGUAAGAGGAUCAGCUUUGAUGGCUGUUCUCAAUUGGUCACUGUUAGCUUCCAAUGGCCAGCCGCUAUGCUGUCAUCUUCAAAGCCCUCCUCUCGUUUGCAGAACUUCCUAAAGCACCACGGCACUGUCUAUUCGUUAGCAGUUCCUGGGCCAAAUGUGUUGUUGAUGCUGCAAGUUGUCUCUGCUGCUUUAUAACCCAUUUUGAACUUGAAGAAGAUAAUUGCUCAAAUUUGAUGUUUGUCUAACAGUAUUUCCAUAGUCUAAGAUAAAUAUAUAAUAAACAGCAACUAAUAAGUCAUUAGGAAAAAACACAAUGCAAGAAAUGCACAUUGAAAUGAUGUAUAACAUAACCACAUUUAUUUUAAGGAUGUAUUCCAAUAUCAAAUGGCAAAUUUCAACAGUGCAAAAACCACAAUUACAUUUGCACCAGCUGAAUAGCUAGAAAAGAGAAAACCAGGAUAAAAUAUAGUCUAAGAAACUGAAAAUGUACUGUUCACUCUAUUCCACCUGGACAGGAAGAAUCCUCACAUCCCACUUGGAGGUGUGCCCCUUUGCCUUUAUCCUUAUUUCCUUCCUGGAGACUGUAUGUAAGUUCCUUACAAUGAAAAAGAGUCACUUUCUAAAAGUGUAAAUUGAAAUGUGCUGCCUACAUAAACUUAUCAAAUUAGUUCUCCUGGUGGAAAAAAAUCUUAAUUAAAAGGCCGCUUUGAAAUAAGGAAAUGUAAUAAAACCUUUUCAUUUUGUUUGCCUUCACACCA
Sapajus apella (tufted capuchin) is the source of this 2873-nucleotide long non-coding RNA. RefSeq lists it as uncharacterized. NCBI's taxonomy places the organism in Eukaryota, Metazoa, Chordata, Mammalia, Primates, Cebidae. The record is from RefSeq and is a predicted model, not a curated record. The transcript has 3 exons.